CCUACGGGAGGCAGCAGUGGGGAAUAUUGCACAAUGGGGGAAACCCUGAUGCAGCGACGCCGCGUGAGUGAAGAAGUAUUUCGGUAUGUAAAGCUCUUUCAGCAGGGAAGAAAAUGACGGUACCUGACCAAGAAGCCCCGGCUAACUACGUGCCAGCAGCCGCGGUAAUACGUAGGGGGCAAGCGUUAUCCGGAUUUACUGGGUGUAAAGGGAGCGUAGACGGCAGGGCAAGUCUGGAGUGAAAGGCGGGGGCUCAACCCGCGGACUGCUCUGGAAACUGCCAGGCUGGAGUGCAGGAGAGGUAAGUGGAAUUCCUGGUGUAGCGGUGAAAUGCGUAGAUAUUAGGAAGAACACCAGUGGCGAAGGCAGCUUACUGAACUGUAACUGACGUUGAGGCUCGAAAGCGUGGGGAGCAAACAGGAUUAGAUACCCUGGUAGUC
This 440-nucleotide ribosomal RNA is filed under the name uncultured bacterium. RNAcentral describes it as "partial 16S ribosomal RNA". It matches the Rfam family "Bacterial small subunit ribosomal RNA", at positions 338 to 795 of the family's 1533-position model. The record is from RNAcentral.